GACUCACAGCGGUGGAUCACUCGGCUCGUGCGUCGAUGAAAAACGCAGCCAACUGCGAGAACUGGUGUGAAUUGCAGGAUACACUGAUCAUCGAUACGUUGAACGCACAUUGCGGCCCUGGGCUCCACCCGGGGCCACCCCUGUAUGAGGGUCG
This 154-nucleotide ribosomal RNA is filed under the name Eptatretus burgeri (inshore hagfish). RNAcentral's name for it is "5.8S ribosomal RNA (ENSEBUG00000000035.1)". It matches the Rfam family "5.8S ribosomal RNA". From Rfam's summary of the family: 5.8S ribosomal RNA (5.8S rRNA) is a component of the large subunit of the eukaryotic ribosome. It is transcribed by RNA polymerase I as part of the 45S precursor that also contains 18S and 28S rRNA. Functionally, it is thought that 5.8S rRNA may be involved in ribosome translocation. The record is from Rfam by way of RNAcentral. Lineage: Eukaryota; Metazoa; Chordata; Myxini; Myxiniformes; Myxinidae.